UAGGUCGACCCGCUGAAUUUAAGCAUAUCACUAAGCGGAGGAAAAGAAACUAACCAGGAUUCCCCUAGUAACGGCGAGUGAAGAGGGAAAAGCCCAGCACCGAAGCCUGUGGCAGCUUUGCUACUAGGCAAUGUGGUGUUUAGGUCGGCUCGCGGGAUCGCCACUCCACUCGAAGUCCAGCCUUGAUUAUGGUUGCCAGGAAUUGGCCCAUAGCGGGUGAUAGGCCCGUACGGGUGGAGGUGUCAGAUGUGUAAGGCGAUUCACCAGGCCGGCCUUAGAGUCGGGUUGUUUGCGAAUGCAGCCCAAAGUGGGUGGUAAACUCCAUCCAAGGCUAAAUACUARCACRAGUCCGAUAGCGAACAAGUACCGUGAGGGAAAGUUGAAAAGUACUUUGAAGAGAGAGUAAACAGUACGUGAAACCGCAUAGAGGUAAACGGGUGGCGUCAAGCUGCAAGCCCGGAGAAUUCAGUCGGUCAGGGUGUUGUUUCUGCGCCCAGCGCAGCUAUCAGUCGGUGUAAUCCGACUAGUCCGCCGGCAGAUGGCGGGCCCAGCUGUCACAGGCUGGGAUUUGCGUACCGAGUGUUAGUCGGAGCAAGCUAGUCGUCCGUGGGACUGCCUGGCCGAUGCACUUUCUCUGUGGUGAACACCACGACCGGUGGRACUGCCAGUCUACCUUAGCCAGCUUCGUGGCUCGCUCAGGCUCUCGUGGUCAGAGCGGGUGGCGAUCACAGGCAAUUUCAGUGCACGGUGCUUGCGGGUUUCCGCUCGUAGGCAUGCUAUCGGGUACUGGUUGUCAACGGGUCGGCCCGGACACUGUCCUGUAGUCGCAGUGUGCAUUCUGGGUGGCUCGGUGGGCUAUGGCGGCAGGAGAAGCUGUGCAGGGCACCGGAGAUGUCGGUCUGUUUAUGACGGUCGCGCACGCACUACAGCUUGGCGUGUGCCGUGCAAGGCACUGAUAGCGUUGCCAGGGCCUGCCAACUGCUGGGUCUGAUCUUCGUGUCGCCUGUCAAAAUGACGGGUCCGAGGGUGGCCUGGUAUUGGAUGGUGCCUGUGGGCGGCGUGGUCUUAGUGCGACCGUGUUGAGAGGCCAGAUAGUCAGUGGUGUAGUGGUAGACGAGCUACCCGACCCGUCUUGAAACACGGACCAAGAAGUUCAACAUGCGCGCGAGUCAUGGGGUCCUACGAAACCCAAAGGCGCAAUGAAAGUGAAGCCCCCUGUUCUGUGCUUCCUCACGGUGGCCAGGGCAUUGGGUGUGGUGAGAUCCCGCUGUUUCUCGCAUGCACUUGUUUGUGACGAGGACCGGCAGCUGGGGCUAGCUAUGUUGUCUCGUGCAACACAUCUAGACGAGCAGCGGGCGCAUCACCGGCCCGUCCCAUGAUGUGGCUACUGGUUUGCARCACUGGUGGUUGGGCAACUGACUACCUGUCUGUCCGGUACGUCAUCGGGGCGGAGCAUGAGCGCGCAUGUUGAGACCCGAAAGAUGGUGAACUAUGCUUGCGUAGGUUGAAGCCAGAGGAAACUCUGGUGGAGGACCGCAGCGAUUCUGACGUGCAAAUCGAUCGUCAAACGUGAGCAUAGGGGCGAAAGACUAAUCGAACCAUCUAGUAGCUGGUUCCCUCCGAAGUUUCCC
This 1631-nucleotide ribosomal RNA is filed under the name Wenyonia virilis. RNAcentral describes it as "eukaryotic LSU rRNA". It matches the Rfam family "Eukaryotic large subunit ribosomal RNA", at positions 16 to 972 of the family's 3401-position model. Lineage: Eukaryota; Metazoa; Platyhelminthes; Cestoda; Caryophyllidea; Caryophyllaeidae. The record is from RNAcentral.